RNAcentral lists this ribosomal RNA (404 nucleotides) under uncultured bacterium. RNAcentral describes it as "bacterial SSU rRNA". It matches the Rfam family "Bacterial small subunit ribosomal RNA", at positions 355 to 775 of the family's 1533-position model. The record is from RNAcentral.
CGAGGAAUUUUGCGCAAUGGGCGACAGCCUGACGCAGCAACGCCGCGUGGGUGAGGAAGGCCUUCGGGUCGUAAAGCCCUUUUCGGGGGGACGACGUUCGACGGUACCCCCGGAAUCAGCCACGGCUAACUACGUGCCAGCAGCCGCGGUAAUACGUAGGUGGCGAGCGUUGUCCGGAUUUAUUGGGCGUAAAGCGCGCGCAGGCGGUGCCGUAAGUCUGCUGUGAAAUCUCCCGGCUCAACUGGGAGGGGGCGGCGGAGACUGCGGCCCUGGAGGGCCCUAGAGGCCGGUGGAAUUCCCGGUGUAGUGGUGAAAUGCGUAGAGAUCGGGAGGAACACCUGUGGCGAAGGCGGCCGGCUGGGGGGACCCUGACGCUGAGGCGCGACAGCGUGGGGAGCGAACCG